CCUCCAGCAACAGUGCUCCCCGCUCCGUUCUCGAUAUAGGUGCGGGUCCUACCAAUGUUACCCACACCUAUCAGACAAUGGGGGCAUAUUCAAGCGAAAUCCCCCCAUUGUCUAUGAGAAUACCCCUUUA
Bufo bufo (common toad) is the source of this 130-nucleotide long non-coding RNA. RefSeq lists it as uncharacterized. The transcript is spliced from 3 exons. The record is from RefSeq and is a predicted model, not a curated record. Lineage: Eukaryota; Metazoa; Chordata; Amphibia; Anura; Bufonidae.